GAUGAACGCUGGCGGUGUGCCUAAUACAUGCAAGUCGUACGCAUUCUCGUUUCUGAUUGACGGUGCUUGCACCUAAUUGACGAGACAUUGGAAUGAGUGGCGGACGGGUGAGUAACACGUGGGUAACCUGCCCAGAAGCGGGGGAUAACAUUUGGAAACAGAUGCUAAUACCGCAUAAAAGUCAAAACCACAUGGUUUUGAUUUAAAAGAUGGCCUUUGUGCUAUCACUUCUGGAUGGACCCGCGGCGUAUUAGCUAGUUGGUAAGGUAAUGGCUUACAAAGGCAAUGAUACGUAGCCGAACUGAGAGGUUGAUCGGCCACAAUGGGACUGGGACACGGCCCAUACUCCUACGGGAGGCAGCAGUAGGGAAUCUUCCACAAUGGGCGCAAGCCUGAUGGAGCAACACCGCGUGAGUGAAGAAGGGUUUCGGCUCGUAAAACUCUGUUGUUAAAGAAGAACGUAUCUAAGAGUAACUGCUUAGGUAGUGACGGUAUUUAACCAGAAAGCCACGGCUAACUACGUGCCAGCAGCCGCGGUAA
RNAcentral lists this ribosomal RNA (540 nucleotides) under uncultured bacterium. Its description in RNAcentral is "partial 16S ribosomal RNA". It matches the Rfam family "Bacterial small subunit ribosomal RNA", at positions 28 to 523 of the family's 1533-position model. The record is from RNAcentral.